CGCGUGGGCAACCCCUAGCUGCAGUUUCUUUCCUCUUCUCUGCCCUCAGCACUUUCCCCUCCAGGAGCACAACUCUGAGCUGUCAUUCCUGUCAACCAGAUGGGAGAUCAGCCACAAAGCUGCUCCGCCUCUCGCAAGGACAGGAACUCUUGUGGCAGGCAGGCUUUCGGGGCGGCUCCAAGAGGGAGUGAGUGAGUCUGGGCCUCUUAGUCGCUGUGGUCAUGGUAAGGGAAAGUGACCUGUUUGUCACCAGGUUUCCCUUGGAAGUCCCCCACCCUCAGGCCUGGCUCCCCGCACUUCCCCUUUUGGUCCCUUCUGCUCUCACAGCUUCACUGCAGCCAGCGUGGAGCAGGAUGCUGACAGCAGAGUGGCUCCAGUGAGCUGCCAUUCCAGAUGUCAGGAACAAGCUCACAGACUGAGUGAAGCCGAGAAGGAUUGCAAACACCAGUGAGAAAGGGCUGGGAGACAACAGUGACGGAGAAGAGGAGCAGGCUUUCAGGCGAUAAGGUGGCUGUGAACUGGUUACAGUUUCCUGAGAUCAACUGCGGUCUGAAAAUCGAAGUCUUCAAUCAACACAACUGAGCUGAGACUCCUCUAGAAGAGAGCUAUCAGGGUCCUGACAGACAGCUGGUGAGGUGCAGAAUGACAUGAGUGAGGGGCUUGGCGCUGACGUGAAGGUUGAGGAGGCAGUCACCGGAACCCCACGCAGGCUAGAGCUGUGACCGACAGAAACGACGAUGUGUGUUCCUAGAGGCUUAGGCAGUGCCAGAGAAAUCACUCAGUGCCAGCUGGCUCCUGCAUGAAUGCUUCUCUAGACAAGCUGACCUUUGCUACUUAGUAGGGUGUACGUUGCCUCUAAGCCCAUUUCCAAUUUACUGACACCUGGUGGAUUUUUAUUCACCACUGAGCUCUGGCCCGAAGAGAGCUGCCAAACGUCCUAGGCCAUCCAUUCACUCAGCACUUAUAAUCGUGAUAGUCACCACCCAUGAAAGCUUUAGGACCUGUUUCAGAGAGUCAUCCUUGGCCAAACCUUCAUGUGGGCAGCUACCACCCACCACACCAGCCCCUCUUCCAGAUCAGACCUCAGCAAACCUGACUGGCCUAGGGAUACAGAAGACCAGCCUCUUGCGUCCACGUGGGACCAAGUCUGCAGUGUGACUUGUGCUCCAGAACUCUCCCACAGGCUCAGCCUGAAGUCAGGCUCCAGCGAAGCCCAUCCCUGCCUGGCUUCUCUCCACAGUCCUAUUCUGCUGCCCUGACUCCUCUUCCCUAAGGGCUAUUGCCCAGCGAAGCCCAUGGUCUCAGACUGGGCUUCAAAGAAACCUGACUCCAUGUUAGCAUCUUCUGCGGAGUUUUAUAAAAACACAUACACCUGAACUUAACCACCUAGACUUACUGAGCCAGAAGCUAUAGAGCUUCAAGAGUGGGAACCAGACAACUGUAUGCUUUAAAGCCUAAUAGAUAUUUCUAAUUCACCAGUUUAUCUCUCAACUUUUCAUUUUGAAAAUGCCAAACUUACAGAAAUAAUGAAAGUAUAAUGUAGUGAUAAAUAUCUACAUACUCAGCAUCUAGAUAUACCAAUUAUUAAUAUUUUGCUCCAUUUUCCUCUCUCUCUCUCACAUAUCAAAAAUAAUUUGCAAGUAAAUUGUAGACAUUAUGACACUUUAUCCUUCAGUUCUUCAGCAGAUAUUAUCCAAGAAUAAAGACAUUCUCCUACAUAACCCCAGUGUCAUAAUCACCCACAGGAAAUUAAUACUAACUUGUUAACAUCCCCAGAGCAUACAGUCCAUAGUUAAGAUGUACCCUCUGUUUUAGGCCAAAGGUGGCAAUUUUCUCAACUUUAGACUCAACAGAAGUUUGGAGAAGGGAAAAAUCUGUAUGAGUUGAAUAGAAAGGAAAAUACUUCAUGGAGGAAAGAGGAUAAGAAUUGGGCUGUGAAGGAUUGACAUUAGAAAGAAGGGGUGGAGCAAAUGCUCAGAUAGAAGCAGGUAAAUACCUAUGCAAACAUGCAGACAUGGGCAUUGGAAUUGCCUUUUGUGGGAGGAGAAGACUGAGCAGAAUUUGUGGACUAGGAUAGGUAGGCUGUGCAGCUGGACAGGCCUCAUGCAAUCUGAGUACAGAGAAAUUGCCAAUCCAAGCAAUCAAAAAAACAGUGGCCACACACCAAGAAACGUUAAAGGUGACUGCACUUAGGAGAGUGGCAUCAGAUUUGUGGGACACAUUCAGGUGAAUUCUAGUCAGGACCAUGGCAAAGCAUUUGGGGUCAGAAUUAAACUGGGGAGUUAAUUACUGAUUGAAAUUCAUUUAUUCAUAUAUUCGUUCUACCAGCAUUUUCUGAGUACAUAUUAUGUGCCAAAAUACCAAUGUGAACACAGGAAAUAAAGCACUGAAAAAACAGACAAGGUCCUUGCUUUCAUGAAACUUAGGUAGGGGUGUGUGUGUGUGUGCGCGUGUGUGUGUGUGUUGGUUGAGUGGG
Molecule: long non-coding RNA, 2476 nt
Filed under: Homo sapiens (human)
Lineage: Eukaryota; Metazoa; Chordata; Mammalia; Primates; Hominidae
Description: HSALNT0183577
Source: RNAcentral